AGUCGAGCGGAUGACAGGAGCUUGCUCCUGAAUUCAGCGGCGGACGGGUGAGUAAUGCCUAGGAAUCUGCCUGGUAGUGGGGGACAACGUUUCGAAAGGAACGCUAAUACCGCAUACGUCCUACGGGAGAAAGCAGGGGACCUUCGGGCCUUGCGCUAUCAGAUGAGCCUAGGUCGGAUUAGCUAGUUGGUGAGGUAAUGGCUCACCAAGGCGACGAUCCGUAACUGGUCUGAGAGGAUGAUCAGUCACACUGGAACUGAGACACGGUCCAGACUCCUACGGGAGGCAGCAGUGGGGAAUAUUGGACAAUGGGCGAAAGCCUGAUCCAGCCAUGCCGCGUGUGUGAAGAAGGUCUUCGGAUUGUAAAGCACUUUAAGUUGGGAGGAAGGGCAUUAACCUAAUACGUUAGUGUUUUGACGUUACCGACAGAAUAAGCACCGGCUAACUCUGUGCCAGCAGCCGCGGUAAUACAGAGGGUGCAAGCGUUAAUCGGAAUUACUGGGCGUAAAGCGCGCGUAGGUGGUUUGUUAAGUUGGAUGUGAAAUCCCCGGGCUCAACCUGGGAACUGCAUUCAAAACUGACAAGCUAGAGUAUGGUAGAGGGUGGUGGAAUU
Molecule: ribosomal RNA, 613 nt
Filed under: Pseudomonas baetica
Lineage: Bacteria; Pseudomonadati; Pseudomonadota; Gammaproteobacteria; Pseudomonadales; Pseudomonadaceae
Description: bacterial SSU rRNA
Rfam family: Bacterial small subunit ribosomal RNA
Source: RNAcentral